This 440-nucleotide ribosomal RNA is filed under the name uncultured bacterium. RNAcentral's name for it is "partial 16S ribosomal RNA". It matches the Rfam family "Bacterial small subunit ribosomal RNA", at positions 338 to 795 of the family's 1533-position model. The record is from RNAcentral.
CCUACGGGUGGCAGCAGUGGGGAAUAUUGGACAAUGGGGGGAACCCUGAUCCAGCGACGCCGCGUGAGUGAAGAAGUAUUUCGGUAUGUAAAGCUCUAUCAGCAGGGAAGAAAAUGACGGUACCUGACUAAGAAGCCCCGGCUAACUACGUGCCAGCAGCCGCGGUAAUACGUAGGGGGCAAGCGUUAUCCGGAUUUACUGGGUGUAAAGGGAGCGUAGACGGUGCAGCAAGUCUGAUGGGAAAAGUCGGGGACCAACCCCGGGACUGCGUGGGAAACUGGUGAACUGGAGUGGAGGAGGGGUAAGCGGAAUUCCUAGUGUAGCGGGGAAAUGCGUAGAUAAUAGGAGGAACACCAGAGGGGAAGGCGGCUUACUGGACUGUAACUGAAGUCGAGGCUCGAAAGCGUGGGGAGCAAACAGGAUUAGAUACCCGGGUAGUC